UACGAAGGGUGCAAGCGUUAAUCGGAAUUACUGGGCGUAAAGCGUGCGUAGGCGGUUGUUUAAGUCUGCUGUGAAAUCCCCGGGCUCAACCUGGGAAUGGCAGUGGAUACUGGGCAGCUAGAGUGUGAUAGAGGAUGGUGGAAUUCCCGGUGUAGCGGUGAAAUGCGUAGAGAUCGGGAGGAACAUCAGUGGCGAAGGCGGCCAUCUGGAUCAACACUGACGCUGAGGCACGAAAGCGUGGGGAGCAAACAGG
Molecule: ribosomal RNA, 253 nt
Filed under: uncultured Dyella sp.
Lineage: Bacteria; Pseudomonadati; Pseudomonadota; Gammaproteobacteria; Lysobacterales; Rhodanobacteraceae
Description: partial 16S ribosomal RNA
Rfam family: Bacterial small subunit ribosomal RNA
Source: RNAcentral